RNAcentral lists this long non-coding RNA (485 nucleotides) under Brassica napus (rape). Its description in RNAcentral is "long non-coding RNA (BNAP_LNC009591)". Lineage: Eukaryota; Viridiplantae; Streptophyta; Magnoliopsida; Brassicales; Brassicaceae. The record is from RNAcentral.
AAGCUUGAUUUUGAUACAAAAAGUAGUGGAGAAUCACUAGGAAGUUGAAUAAAUCUCAUAUGAGUUAGGAUGAAGAAGCUAUCCCACUUUCAGAUCAAGUGAUCCCAGUUUUCCUUUUUGGGAAUAUGACAGCUUCCUUGUCAUUCUAAUCAAACCAGGAUGAAUUGCAAUGUAAAAAGCUUCAAUAGGAUACAUAAAGUAGGAGAGAACCACCAGGAGGUUGAAUAAAUCUCAUAGGAGUUAGGAUGAAGAAGCUAUCCCACUUUCAAAUCAGGUGAUCCCAGUUUUCCUGUUUGGGAAUAUGACAGCUUCUUUUUCAUUCUAAUCAAACAAGGAUGAAUCGCGAUGUAAGAAGCUUGAUUUUGAUACAUAAAGUAAUGGAGAAUCACUAGGAAGUUGAAUAAAUCUCAUAGGAGUUAGGAUGAAGAAGCUAUCCCACUUUCAAAUCAGGUGAUCCCAGUUUUCCUAUUUGGGAAUAUGACAGC